AAGACUAUACUUUCAAGGAUCAGUUCUAUAGUUUGUUACUAGAGAAGUUUCUCUAAAUGUGUAGAGCACCAUUUAAGAAUAAACUUUUGUUUAAA
Non-coding RNA from Pteropus alecto (black flying fox), 95 nucleotides. The record is from Rfam. Lineage: Eukaryota; Metazoa; Chordata; Mammalia; Chiroptera; Pteropodidae.